This 497-nucleotide ribosomal RNA is filed under the name uncultured bacterium. RNAcentral's name for it is "partial 16S ribosomal RNA". It matches the Rfam family "Bacterial small subunit ribosomal RNA", at positions 28 to 507 of the family's 1533-position model. The record is from RNAcentral.
GAUGAACGCUGGCGGCGUGCCUAAUACAUGCAAGUCGAGCGAACGGACGAGGAGCUUGCUUCUCUGAUGUUAGCGGCGGACGGGUGAGUAACACGUGGAUAACCUACCUAUAAGACUGGGAUAACUUCGGGAAACCGGAACUAAUACCGGAUGAUAUUUUGAACCGCAUGGUUCAAAAGUGAAAGACGGUCUUGCUGUCACUUAUAGAUGGAUCCGCGCUGCAUUAGCUAGUUGGUAAGGUAACGGCUUACCAAGGCAACGAUGCAUAGCCGACCUGAGAGGGUGAUCGGCCACACUGGAACUGAGACACGGUCCAGACUCCUACGGGAGGCAGCAGUAGGGAAUCUUCCGCAAUGGGCGAAAGCCUGACGGAGCAACGCCGCGUGAGUGAUGAAGGUCUUCGGACCGUAAAACUCUGUUAUUAGGGAAGAACAUAUGUGUAAGUAACUGUGCACAUCUUGACGGUACCUAAUCAGAAAGCCACGGCUAACUACGUG